UACGUAGGGCGCGAGCGUUGUCCGGAUUUAUUGGGCGUAAAGCGCUCGUAGGCGGCUUGUCGCGUCUUUCGUGAAAACUCACAGCUCAACUGUGAGCUUGCGGUCGAUACGGGCAGGCUAGAGUUCGGUAGGGGAGACUGGAAUUCCUGGUGUAGCGGUGAAAUGCGCAGAUAUCAGGAGGAACACCGGUGGCGAAGGCGGGGCUCUGGGCCGAUACUGACGCUGAGGAGCGAAAGCGUGGGGAGCGAACAGG
This 253-nucleotide ribosomal RNA is filed under the name uncultured bacterium. Its description in RNAcentral is "partial 16S ribosomal RNA". It matches the Rfam family "Bacterial small subunit ribosomal RNA", at positions 524 to 776 of the family's 1533-position model. The record is from RNAcentral.